Molecule: long non-coding RNA, 393 nt
Organism: Pseudoliparis swirei
Lineage: Eukaryota; Metazoa; Chordata; Actinopteri; Perciformes; Liparidae
Exons: 3
Source: RefSeq, a predicted model, not a curated record
GAGGUCAGACAGGAGGUCAGACAGGAGGUCAGACAGGAGGACAGACAGGAGGUCAGACAUGAGGACAGACAUGAGGACAGACAGGAGGUCAGACAGGAGGUCAGACAGGAGGUCAGACAGGAGGUCAGACAGGAGGUCAGACAGGAGGUCAGACAGGAGGUCAGACUAGAGGUCAGACAGGAGGACAGACAUGAGGUCAGACAGGAGGUCAGACAGGAGGUCAGACAUGAGGACAGACAGGAGGACAGACAGGAGGUCAGACAGGAGGUCAGACAGGAGGUCAGACAAGGAGGACAGACAGGAGGUCAGACAGGAGGUCAGACAUGAGGUCAGACAGGAGGUCAGACAGGAGGUCAGACAGGAGGUCAGACAUGAGGUCAGUCAGGAGGUCAG